Molecule: transfer RNA, 33 nt
Filed under: Aratinga nenday (Nanday parakeet)
Lineage: Eukaryota; Metazoa; Chordata; Aves; Psittaciformes; Psittacidae
Description: partial tRNA-Phe
Source: RNAcentral
GCCGCCAAGAUGGACGCCACCACCCCAAGGACA